RNAcentral lists this transfer-messenger RNA (225 nucleotides) under Serratia marcescens. Its description in RNAcentral is "partial transfer-messenger RNA". It matches the Rfam family "transfer-messenger RNA", at positions 1 to 228 of the family's 374-position model. Rfam says of the family: Bacterial tmRNA, also known as 10Sa RNA or SsrA, is named for its dual tRNA and mRNA-like properties. Its role is to liberate the mRNA from a stalled ribosome. Lineage: Bacteria; Pseudomonadati; Pseudomonadota; Gammaproteobacteria; Enterobacterales; Yersiniaceae. The record is from RNAcentral.
GGGGCUGAUUCUGGAUUCGACGGGAUUUGCGAAGCCCUAGGAGCAUGCCGAGGGGCGGUUGGCCUCGUAAAAAGCCGCAAAAAAAUAGUCGCAAACGACGAAAACUACGCUUUAGCAGCUUAAUACCCUGCUUAGAGCCCUCUCUCCCUAGCCUCCGCUCUUAGGACGGGGAUCAAGAGAGGUCAAACCCAAAAGAGAUCGCGUGGAAGCCCUGCCUGGGGUUGA